UCCGGUUGUAGCUGCUGGAGCUUGAAGUUAGCUACGGAUGUUUGUAGCAGCUGCUAAGAGCUCCGGUUGUAGCUGCUGGAGCUUGAAGUUAGCUACGGAAGUCUGUAGUAGCUGCUACGAGUGUCGGCCGUAGCGAACUUCCAGCCCAGUGCUGCCGUGGGAAAAAAAUCAGCGGCACAGUACUAACGGGAGGACACGCGAGCGGGGGGAAGAGCGUGGAGAGCCCAACACUCACGAACCUAACAUCCAGCUGCAGCUGCUGCUAUGGCCGCUCGUUCAAGAUACCGGAGCACACUGUGCUGCACUGAUGUCGGUGUUGGGACCUCAGCUGUAAGAGACCUUGCUUGGAGGAGGGAGAGGACAAGAUGUGACAUUACAUGGAUAACCUUUUGGACCUCAUCUUUCACGAGAUUUUUUAGGACCCGGCCCCUUAUGUGAAUGAGAUACUGAAGAUCUCAAAACCUGAGGAUCUCUCUGCCUAGUAUGAGAAACCUGACAAGCAGGAAGUUAUAGCCAGCUAUGUGUCGAGUUUCAAUCAAGGGCAGGUCUGAACCCUGUAUAACUUCCCUGAGCAUCAGGGAACACUCUGCGUAUCUGGAGCAGCGAGCAGGAGGGCAGGACCACCCUGAUUCUCCGGCCCAGAGGGCCUCAACACCAGCUCACAAAGCUUCUGUACGCCAAAUACCUGUAACGGUUGAGCAAAGUUCACAUUGUAUUUAGAGAAUAAAAGGUGACACACAAAUAUAAAGUGUUCCUUUGUUUACAGUAUAGCUACUGAUGGCACAAAUUGUAUUUUUGUAAUGAAUGUAUUUAUUAUACUUGGUAUUUUUUGUAUUUAUUACCUCUGUCCUAGCCAGUACAUUUAAUAACUAUGAUUAAAAAGCUCUGUGGCAAUCUUUCUAGCAAUCUUUCUGACAAUAAAAGUUUAUAGAAACA
This is a long non-coding RNA of Platichthys flesus (European flounder), 936 nucleotides long. RefSeq lists it as uncharacterized. The transcript is spliced from 3 exons. The record is from RefSeq and is a predicted model, not a curated record. Lineage: Eukaryota; Metazoa; Chordata; Actinopteri; Pleuronectiformes; Pleuronectidae.